UGCCACUCUGCAGACCAUGGACCGUGUAGUGGUUCUGCUUGAUGUUGGGCACGAUCAUCCAGCUGUCGGCAGAGUUACACAGACCUGCAAAGCCAAGCAGACACGGCGCACUGCUUUGUCAUCUCUGCACCUCUGAUCCCCCACUGAUAAACUCGGGGGUGCAGGCUCCUGCCUACGAUAGUGCUGCGCGUGGUGCCCGUGCGUGAUGCGUUGUGAGGCGCCGUGGCGAGGAGAAGGAAGCAGCGAGUUACCACGGGUUCCACCCUCGGCCUCCCCCACCACCCCAUGCUCAUGACUGUGAUCGUUAAAUUGGAAUCUCAUCAAUUCUGAGCCUCACAGCCGGUGAGAAGAGACCUGAAUCACCUCGCUGAUGCUGAAAACAUCUCUUUGGUAUUGGGCCCAGCUCUCCUCUCUCCACCCAUCAAUCUCCACUCUGAGAGAACCUUUGCCCAGCCCCCCGGUGACUGGCUGUCAUGAAGUUUCCUGACUCUGGUGAAUUUCCUUCACCAGUUCUUGGUAGAGGGCUGAGCCCCCCCACUUCCUGAGGGGCUCCAACCCCCCCCACCCUUUCCCUUUCAAUGGAUUUGCAAGUCAAAGAGUUAGUUCUUUUGAUCUUGAGGCAACUUAUACCUUACUGUAAUCCCA
Mirounga angustirostris (Northern elephant seal) is the source of this 645-nucleotide long non-coding RNA. RefSeq lists it as uncharacterized. The transcript has 3 exons. Lineage: Eukaryota; Metazoa; Chordata; Mammalia; Carnivora; Phocidae. The record is from RefSeq and is a predicted model, not a curated record.